ACCUAUGAGAAAAGAUCGAUUAUCAGGGUGUUCGCAGCGAACACCUUAAUAAUCGAUUCUUUACCACAGCUCAAAUGGCGAGAUAUCGAUAAUCGAUUAUUCACGCCACGCCACUGACACUCACUGUAAUAAAAAUCUGCGUGAUAUUAAAGUUAUUGUAAGAGGGCUUCACCCCUCAAUCGAAGAGCAAGAUAUUCUUGACGUCUUAAAAAAUAAAGGUUUUAAACCUAAAAAAGCGACAUGCCUCAUGAAACGGGUCCCACUGUCGGGCACGGAACUUAAAGCUUUGAAAAGAUCAGUACCACCUGUGGAUCCAGCUCCACAGACGGCUGUUGAUAAAGAUAACGAGCCUCUUUUUAUUGCUGACUCUGCUUAUGUAAGUAAAACUAAACUAAUAAAAAUGAGUGUCAGCGCUAUAUACGCUCCACCGCGUCAUCGAUGCUCAGUUGACGAUUAUUCUGGUUUACUCGUUAAAUUGGGUCCUCGCUUCCUAAUCGGGGUGGGGUGGGGGCUUCAACUGUAAAAACGUCAGAUAAAGUUCGAGAUUAACUAACCCGAAAGAUGUAAAUUUGAAAACUACCUUCAAUCUGUUCAUAACGUUGCAUUGACAUGAAGUCUUUGCCUCUUCUCCCGCUCAUCAACGCCAAGAAGAGUGUAUUCAGUGGGAAGGGAAGGGAAGGGGUUGACAAUACGAACAGUUCUAGCACUUUGAGGCUCUGAUGGUCAGUAGUUUUAACAUUUGUGUGGAACAAAGGCGUGUGGUUUACUCUCAAUUCCGAACAGUUGAACCUUCGCGUGAUGAAGUGGAGUCGCGAGAAGAGGGACGAAUUCAUUGCGGAGCUGCAGAAGAGACCAUAUCUAUACGAUGAAAAUGAUGAAAAUUACGAAAAUAAAUUCCUACAAUUCCAAGCGCGGAUGGAGCUCAAGUUUCAAUUUAAAACUACAUAUCGUACUAUCGUAGAAAGAAUAAACCGUUUGCAAAAAAGUUAUUUUAAACCUGGUGCAUUACAAAAAUCAUCGUCUCCCACUCUUGAUCAAGCUAAAAAUGAUAUAUCUUCGCCUCGAUCAAAGCCUUUAGACAAGGAUCAGAUCUUGGAAAAAAAUGCAAGUAUGUCUGCAGAAGACGAAGUAAAUAGGAUCAGGCGUUUCCUUGAAGAUGACAGUUUUCUUAAGGUAUCUCCUGCCUGGUAUAUCCCUUGUUCAGACACUUUGUGCUGCAUAUGCUCCACCAAGGAUAAUCAGAAGAUGAAGCUAUCUACAGACAACGAUACAAUAACCAUGACCGAUUAUUAUACCGUCCCGGCCGAACCAGACUCUCAAGUGGGGAGACACUGAUCAAUUUGCAAAGAGAAAUUGUUUCUCCGACAGAGAAACGCGAUAAUCCUACCGUCCCGGCUGAACCAGAUUCUCAAAUGGGAGGGACACUGAUCAAUUUGCAAGGAGGAAUUGUUUCUUUGACAGAGAAGCACACUUCAAUGCCGGAUGAUAUAGCUAUUCGUUCGGAGCAAGUUCAGUUUGAAUCAGAAAAUAUUUCAUCGUUUACUUCGACUUUAACCAAUUCCUUUAUAAAAGCUCACAUCGGGAAUUACGUGUCUGCAAAACUUAAAACUUACGAUGAAAAUGACUCGCUGAAAAUUAUACAAGAGAUAAAAGAAAUAUUCUUUAGAUACGAUUUUUUAAGGGAAACAAAGUGGUAAGUUUCAAAGUAUUCUGAUUUAAGGAUGAAAUAUGAUUUUUCAAUUCCUCAUUUGUCGAAUUGUAAUAGAUAUAAUCAUGCAUGUUAUAAUCAUAGACUACCAUAUCAAAUAGAUGCGAUAAUAAACAUAUGUAACAUUUUUUUAUGAAAUAUAAGCGAAUUGUGUGUUUCUAAUCAUUCUUGUUUAAUACGUACUGAAAUUUUGUCUUAAUCUGCGAUUGAUCGCGCAAGUUUCGAUCGUCGGCGAAACACCACUACCAUCAGAAUCAUCAUUACCAUUACUAUCAUCAUCAUUGGCACGUAAUAAUAAAUCCUUCCCCAAUCCUUUGCCAAAAGAUACGGUUCGAGCAUUCGAAAAACGAUGCAAGCCUAUAUUUUUUUCGUCCACAAAAUUUACAUUGCAUAUUUAACUGAAGUUUACAAUUCAAACAUUUAAAAGUUCUAAUUCUUGACACAAGCAAUGUCACCCUGCUCCGCUAAUUGAAAUAAAAGCGCUGAGCUCCAUUCUCAUACCUACGAGGCACAGUCUGGAGAGGGGGGAAAUUGGGGGUAUACGCCGACGAUACGCUCGUGUUAGCAGCGUCCAAGAAUUAUAGAGAGGCACAGCAUAAUGCAUAAUGUCACC
Molecule: long non-coding RNA, 2321 nt
Filed under: Bemisia tabaci
Lineage: Eukaryota; Metazoa; Arthropoda; Insecta; Hemiptera; Aleyrodidae
Description: lncRNA ENSASIAIIG003023
Source: RNAcentral